This 496-nucleotide ribosomal RNA is filed under the name uncultured bacterium. RNAcentral's name for it is "partial 16S ribosomal RNA". It matches the Rfam family "Bacterial small subunit ribosomal RNA", at positions 29 to 507 of the family's 1533-position model. The record is from RNAcentral.
AUGAACGCUGGCGGCGUGCCUAAUACAUGCAAGUCGAGCGAACAGAUGAGGAGCUUGCUCCUCUGACGUUAGCGGCGGACGGGUGAGUAACACGUGGAUAACCUACCUAUAAGACUGGGAUAACUUCGGGAAACCGGAGCUAAUACCGGAUAAUAUAUUGAACCGGAUGGUUCAAUAGUGAAAGACGGUUUUGCUGUCACUUAUAGAUGGAUCCGCGCCGCAUUAGCUAGUUGGUAAGGUAACGGCUUACCAAGGCAACGAUGCGUAGCCGACCUGAGAGGGUGAUCGGCCACACUGGAACUGAGACACGGUCCAGACUCCUACGGGAGGCAGCAGUAGGGAAUCUUCCGCAAUGGGCGAAAGCCUGACGGAGCAACGCCGCGUGAGUGAUGAAGGUCUUCGGAUCGUAAAACUCUGUUAUUAGGGAAGAACAAAUGUGUAAGUAACUAUGCACGUCUUGACGGUACCUAAUCAGAAAGCCACGGCUAACUACGUG